GAAAAAUCCAACUUAAACUAUCCUAUUCUUUAAAAACACCCCGCAGUUCAAAUUUUCUGGCAUCCCACCCCUUAAUUCUACAAGCCAUCGUUCUAUCUUCAAUUGUUCUGUAUCAUUGUUGCCCUUAAUGGAGAUUUCGUAGAAAUAGAAACCGUUAGAGUCCCUUUGUUCUUAUUUCCUCCGACUUAUUUCAAACGUCGUUCAGAGAUCUUCCAUCCUCUUCGGUCGUCGAUUCCGUUUUUGGGGGAGCCUCCUCGAUCCAAAUCCUCAAUUUUGUCUAUUGUUUUCUUUCCUCAGUCAUCGCAUGAGCCGCAUGAUUUACCAAAAAUAGCAGGUAAAGCUUUUGAAUCUUUGUGCUUUUUCUUUUAUUUCUUAUACAAUCGUCGCGAUACUCGAUCUGUCCUCAUCUCCUGUUUGGAUUUUUUUAUGACUGUUAAGAAGUCACCUUCUACUGUCAGUUUAUGAAACCCUAGUUCCUUAGCCACCAUCACUGAUUGUAGACAUGCUUUCGCCUCUAUCGUGGUUGCAUCGGCUAUAAAAUUGCUCUGUUUUGGCCUUGGGACUAGGAGAGGCAUCGAUCCCUACCCCUUGCAGGAUAUUUUUGACAAACAUACAGUCCCAGAAUAUAUGGUUCACCGAUUCUUCCGUUGAGUGACAUAGUGGGUAAUCGUUCAUCACCCUCACUUUCUUAGAUUGAAGGUUGUUAAGAGUAGGAAUAUAGUUAUUUAUUACUUUCCACAUUCUAAUUUUGAUCUUGCUUGCAAUUUGUAAGUUCCAUAGUCUGGUGUAGAAGUUCUGUAAAAUCGUCGGUUGUAGCAUUACUUCCUUUUACAUUUGUGUUGUAUCUUCUUUAAACAACCACUUGUAUUCUCUUUUUGUUGAGUACACUCAUGUAUUAUCACCCCUCUAAAACCCUGAUGUCCUUGAUGUUGACUCCAACAAUUGGGAUGGUAUGAAUUCUGUUUGCUUGCUCCUCGUCAAAAAGCUUUCUUAGGACUUCUGACCUCUAGGCCUUGGAAGCUAAGCUUCGUUCCAUAUAUUGAUUGAUUUGCCAUUUCUUACCCUUCAUCCUAUGUCUACCUCAAAAAGUUCUCUCGCGCACCAUAUGCUCCUCCAGGUAAAUGAUAGGUGAAAUCCUAAACUUGUAUUAAAAAAUUCACUAUUUGAGUAAUAUUUUACUUUCAUAACA
Gossypium raimondii (Peruvian cotton) is the source of this 1189-nucleotide long non-coding RNA. RefSeq lists it as uncharacterized. NCBI's taxonomy places the organism in Eukaryota, Viridiplantae, Streptophyta, Magnoliopsida, Malvales, Malvaceae. The transcript is spliced from 3 exons. The record is from RefSeq and is a predicted model, not a curated record.